AACCUCACCAGGAGCGACAGCAGGAUGAAGGUCAGUCUAAAGGGCUUACCUGACACGCUGAGAGGAGUUGCAUGGCCGACGUCAGCCUGUGCCGUGAGGUGACCUGUUAAAUCAGGUAACAGGCAAGACCCACAUGUAUAUUUACUACGUGUACUAUAUACAGAUUGCCUUGGUAACGAGGAUGAAAGUGUGGGCUACGUUAGGUGAGUACAGCCCUAAUCCCCUGGGCAACACGCGCGCGUCAAUGGUGAAUACAACGGGACGCGACUCCGAAAGGAGAAGCUAAUCUCUUAAAGUUCAUCUCAGUUCAGAUCGAGGUUUGUAACUCAGCCUCGUGACGCUGGAAUCUGUAGUAAUCGUUUGUUAUCAACGAACGGUGAAUAUGUCACUGUCUCUUGCACACACUGCCCGUCAAACCAACCAAGUUUAGUUAUGGUGAAACAAUUCGUUGGAGAACCUUGACUAGACAAGGUAGGUUAAGUCGUCACAAGGUAUCUGUAGGGGAACCUGCAGAUGGAUUACCUCCUA
RNAcentral lists this ribosomal RNA (528 nucleotides) under Nanobdellota archaeon. RNAcentral describes it as "bacterial SSU rRNA". It matches the Rfam family "Archaeal small subunit ribosomal RNA", at positions 922 to 1478 of the family's 1478-position model. Lineage: Archaea; Nanobdellati; Nanobdellota. The record is from RNAcentral.